GUGCCAGAAGCCGCGGUAACACGAACCGUACGAACGUUAUUCGGAAUUACUGGGCUUAAAGGGUGCGUAGGCGGCGACGCAAGUUGGGUGUGAAAUCCCUCGGCUCAACCGAGGAAUUGCGCCCAAAACUGCGUUGCUCGAGGGAGACAGAGGUGAGCGGAACUUGCGGUGGAGCGGUGAAAUGCGUUGAUAUCGCAAGGAACACCAGUGGCGAAAGCGGCUCACUGGGUCUCUUCUGACGCUGAGGCACGAAAGCUAGGGGAGCGAACGGGAUUAGAUACCCCGGUAGUCCUAGCUGUAAACGAUGAGCACUGGGUCGGAGAACCCCCCAUAGUUUUCCGGCCGUAGCGAAAGUGUUAAGUGCUCCGCCUGGGGAGUAUGGUCGCAAGGCUGAAACUUAAAGGAAUUGACGG
This 413-nucleotide ribosomal RNA is filed under the name uncultured bacterium. RNAcentral's name for it is "bacterial SSU rRNA". It matches the Rfam family "Bacterial small subunit ribosomal RNA", at positions 505 to 916 of the family's 1533-position model. The record is from RNAcentral.